AGCUGGUCCAAAGGUAGUGAGUUAUCUCAAUUGUUCAGUCAGUAACAGAACAAACUCCUUGUUCUACUCUUUUCUCCCUUCUCAUUACUACACUUUACUAGUCUUAA
This is an unclassified non-coding RNA of Cercocebus atys (sooty mangabey), 107 nucleotides long. It matches the Rfam family "Y RNA". Rfam says of the family: Y RNAs are components of the Ro ribonucleoprotein particle (Ro RNP), in association with Ro60 and La proteins. The Y RNAs and Ro60 and La proteins are well conserved, but the function of the Ro RNP is not known. In humans the RNA component can be one of four small RNAs -- hY1, hY3, hY4 and hY5. Lineage: Eukaryota; Metazoa; Chordata; Mammalia; Primates; Cercopithecidae. The record is from Ensembl.